RNAcentral lists this ribosomal RNA (776 nucleotides) under uncultured bacterium. Its description in RNAcentral is "bacterial SSU rRNA". It matches the Rfam family "Bacterial small subunit ribosomal RNA", at positions 9 to 788 of the family's 1533-position model. The record is from RNAcentral.
GAGUUUGAUCCUGGCUCAGGAUGAACGCUGGCGGCGUGCUUAACACAUGCAAGUCGAGCGAAACACUUAGAUUGAUUUCUUCGGAAUGAAAUCUAUUUGAUUGAGCGGCGGACGGGUGAGUAACGCGUGGGGAACCUGCCCUAUACCGGGGGAUAACAGUUAGAAAUGACUGCUAAUACCGCAUAAGCGCACAGUAUCGCAUGAUACAGUGUGAAAAGCUCCGGUGGUAUAGGAUGGACCCGCGUUAGAUUAGUUAGUUGGCAGGGUAACGGCCUACCAAGACGACGAUCUAUAGCCGGCCUGAGAGGGCGAUCGGCCACAUUGGGACUGGGACACGGCCCAAACUCCUACGGGAGGCAGCAGUGGGGAAUAUUGCACAAUGGGGGAAACCCUGAUGCAGCGACGCCGCGUGAGUGAAGAAGUAUUUCGGUAUGUAAAGCUCUAUCAGCAGGGAAGAAAAUGACGGUACCUGACUAAGAAGCCCCGGCUAACUACGUGCCAGCAGCCGCGGUAAUACGUAGGGGGCAAGCGUUAUCCGGAUUUACUGGGUGUAAAGGGAGCGUAGACGGUUUAGCAAGUCUGAAGUGAAAUCCCGGGGCUUAACCCCGGAGCUGCUUUGGAAACUGUUAGACUUGAGUGUCGGAGAGGUAAGUAGAAUUCCUAGUGUAGCGGUGAAUGCGUAGAUAUUAGGAGGAAUACCAGUGGCGAAGCGACUUACUGGACGAUAACUGACGUUGAGGCUCGAAAGCGUGGGGAGCAACAGGAUUAGAUACCCU